Long non-coding RNA from Triticum dicoccoides, 175 nucleotides. RefSeq lists it as uncharacterized. The record is from RefSeq and is a predicted model, not a curated record. The transcript has 3 exons. NCBI's taxonomy places the organism in Eukaryota, Viridiplantae, Streptophyta, Magnoliopsida, Poales, Poaceae.
GAGAGGGAGGCCGAAGCAAACUCCGUCAGGUUUCAGAUAACUACUUCAGGUUAGGCGGGAGAAAUAAAAAGGGUGACCAUAGAUAUAUGGUCUAGCAUCACGAGGUUCAGGUAACUGCUGUUGAUCAACCGUUGCUUCGGUCGAGUUAGAGAUUAAAGAAGACUGAAAUUAUGGG